CCUGCCACUGGAGGCAUUGCAGGUGUGGCUGUUGUAUCACAUAUGCAUCAACUGGUAGCAACAGAGAUGAGUUUGUGUCUGUGUUCAGUGUUCUGACCUACAAACAUCUGCAUUUGUAGCCUAACAUU
Grammomys surdaster is the source of this 128-nucleotide small nucleolar RNA. RefSeq annotates it as small nucleolar RNA SNORA17. Lineage: Eukaryota; Metazoa; Chordata; Mammalia; Rodentia; Muridae. The transcript has a single exon. The record is from RefSeq and is a predicted model, not a curated record.